UCUGGGGACCUGAAUCAUGACUUCUGAAUGCCUGGAUUAGCAAUUCUGUAUUUAGCAGUGACCAAAAUAUUCAAAAAUAGCUUCUCACUAUUUGUGCAGUCUAUAUUUAUGCUUGGUAAAAGCCAUCUAAGCUGCUAAUAAAAGAAACACAGACCCUGGCAGUUAGCAGGGCAUGUCCACAAAAACCAAUAUGCAACAUUGCCACUUGGAUCUGAAGUUCUCUUCUGUUGCCUCUCAGCAGCAGCAGAGACUGACAGGAGCUACUCUGAGACACUCCUCCUCAUCUUCUAGCACUUAUCCUUUAAGUGUGAUGCAUAAAGCAACAGUAUUCAAACUGAUUGUGCUUCCAAAAGGGCAGGAUCACCAGGCAAAAACUUGAUUUCUUUUUGAAGCUGAAAAAACCUGUGAUCUCAGAAGCCAUGUAUUUGGGAAACUGUAGAAGGUGCUCCUGAUUGAGAACAGAGCAGAAAAGGCUUAACCAAUUACCUGCCUUUUCUGCUCUUUUUUGCCCAGGUCUGAUUUAUUUGUGAUUUUAUCCAGUCACAUAUGUCUUAUCUUUUAGACAGUUCAUCCUUUGGGACAGAAACUACCAUUUCCUUUUUUAUACAUAAAAUAAUGCUGGAUAAUCUGACUGAAGUUUUACACUUGCUAUACUGUAACUGCUAAAUGAAUAACAAUUUUGGCCAAUUUCUAGUCUCAGCUAGCUCCUUUUGGGCUACUGUAGCCCAAAGCUAUAAUAAGCAAAUAAAGCAAUUUAGUCAGGCUUCUAUCUGGAAGAAAUCCUCAUUCCAGAAUACAGAGUUUUAAAGCUGACAUCUGGAGUGAUACAGCCUCUACACUAUAGAAACUCCUUACAACUCCUCCAGCACAAAUCCCAAAUAUGUGUUCUUUAAUGUCCAGGAUCAGAACCUGUCCAACACUUCCUCAGAGUAGCAGCCAGCCUCCCUCACCUGAGUGUGGCUUGUGCAGUGCCAGCACUCCCAGCUGCACCCCCGCAGGGCACCAGCUGUUCCCUGAGUGCUAGCCCAGGAGAGCAGACAGACCACAGGUAUACACAGGAAGAACAUGGAAACAUCCCAGAUUUUUAUCUCUCUACUGUCCUCCAGUAAUCAGCUGCCGUUAUUCUGGUUUAUGUGGGAGAAAUGAUCUUAGAAUCACUUCAUAAUACACCAUUAAUGUAUCAGUGAGAGGUUGAGACUGAUAUCCUGUUAGUGUUAGAAACCACAAUUAUGUGUAAAAUGAAAAAUUAUGCACAGCAAACUAUGCAAUGGCUAUGCAAUGUGACCUGCCAGAGAAGUCCUUCUGCAUCAGUUCCUCCAAAGAUCUCCUGUGACCUGAGAAGCUGUACUUCCUUCCCUCUUUCUCCUUUCUCUGAGUCAGCCAGCUGUGCCAUCAACAAGACACUGAAAAGCAAAAAGACCUGAGCCCUGCAAGAAAUAAAAGGGGAUUUCUGUCGUUCUCUGGGUUCUGUCUCUGUAGAAUUGAAAUCCUGCCCUUCAGUCAACAUUCACACCAGCUGCCUGGGUAAGCACAUGUGAUGGGCCACCCUUUCAAGACAA
Onychostruthus taczanowskii (white-rumped snowfinch) is the source of this 1559-nucleotide long non-coding RNA. RefSeq lists it as uncharacterized. The record is from RefSeq and is a predicted model, not a curated record. NCBI's taxonomy places the organism in Eukaryota, Metazoa, Chordata, Aves, Passeriformes, Passeridae. The transcript is spliced from 3 exons.